AACGUAGGUGGCAAGCGUUAUCCGGAUUCACUGGGCGUAAAGCGCAUGCAGGUGGCACAGUAAGUAGGGCAUGAAAACUCCUGGCUUAACUGGGAGAGGCUGUCCUAGACUGCUGAGCUUGAGGAUGGGAGAGGGAAGUGGAAUUGCCGGUGUAGUGGUGAAAUGCGCAGAGAUCGGCAGGAACACCCGUGGCGAAAGCGGCUUCCUGGCCCAUUCCUGACACUCAGAUGCGAAAGCUAGGGGAGCGAACGGG
RNAcentral lists this ribosomal RNA (253 nucleotides) under uncultured bacterium. RNAcentral's name for it is "partial 16S ribosomal RNA". It matches the Rfam family "Bacterial small subunit ribosomal RNA", at positions 524 to 776 of the family's 1533-position model. The record is from RNAcentral.